This 602-nucleotide ribosomal RNA is filed under the name uncultured fungus. Its description in RNAcentral is "eukaryotic LSU rRNA". The stretch from base 194 to 347 matches the Rfam family "5.8S ribosomal RNA". The record is from RNAcentral. Lineage: Eukaryota; Fungi.
UCCGUAGGUGAACCUGCGGAGGGAUCAUUAAAGAGUUGCAAAACUCCCAAACCAUUGUGAACAUACCUUCAACGUUGCUUCGGCGGGUUGGCCCCGGUCUCCGGGGUCCCCCGGCCCUACUCGGGCGCCCGCCGGAGGUAUCUAACUCUUGAACUUUUAUGGCCUCUCUGAGUCUUUGUACUUAAUAAGUCAAAACUUUCAACAACGGAUCUCUUGGUUCUGGCAUCGAUGAAGAACGCAGCGAAAUGCGAUAAGUAAUGUGAAUUGCAGAAUUCAGUGAAUCAUCGAAUCUUUGAACGCACAUUGCGCCCGCCAGUAUUCUGGCGGGCAUGCCUGUUCGAGCGUCAUUUCAACCAUCAAGCCCCCGGCUUGUGUUGGGGACCUGCGGCUGCCGCAGGCCCUGAAAACCAGUGGCGGGCUCGCUAGUCACUCCGAGCGUAGUAAUACAUCUCGCUCAGGGCGUGCUGCGGGUUCCGGCCGUUAAAAAGCCUUAUUUACCCAAGGUUGACCUCGGAUCAGGUAGGAAGACCCGCUGAACUUAAGCAUAUCAAUAAGCGGAGGGAAGUCGGACUGGCCAAGGGGCACACCAGGGGGGGGGGAUA